AUGCUGGCAAUUUUCAGAUUGCACCCAUUUAAUUAUAGCACACUAUAUCACAUUUGUGGUAAAUUUAGAAAAGCUUGUGCGUACCCUUUUAGUAGUCAAUAUGGUUCAGAUGCAGUAUUUUUUAUUUCCUUUUUUUGCUUUCAGCACACACAUAUGGCAUUGAAGUUCUUUAUCAUGUAUGUAGGCAGAUUAGUUGUGUCACUUACUGAUGCUCUUAUGGUACACAGUACACUAUUAGGGUGUUGGGCCCAGAAAAAGGAAGUAAAUGAAGCCCAUAGGUGGAGGAAUUUGGAUGAUCUGUAG
This 303-nucleotide ribosomal RNA is filed under the name Triticum aestivum (bread wheat). RNAcentral's name for it is "partial small subunit ribosomal RNA". Lineage: Eukaryota; Viridiplantae; Streptophyta; Magnoliopsida; Poales; Poaceae. The record is from RNAcentral.